GCGACCGUGGUGUAGUGGUUAGCAUUAACGCCUUCCAAGCGUUAGAGAGGGGUUCGAUUCCCUCGGUCGCA
RNAcentral lists this transfer RNA (71 nucleotides) under Fusarium oxysporum II5. RNAcentral's name for it is "tRNA-Gly". It matches the Rfam family "tRNA". Rfam says of the family: Transfer RNA (tRNA) molecules are approximately 80 nucleotides in length. Their secondary structure includes four short double-helical elements and three loops (D, anti-codon, and T loops). The record is from RNAcentral. Lineage: Eukaryota; Fungi; Ascomycota; Sordariomycetes; Hypocreales; Nectriaceae.